RNAcentral lists this ribosomal RNA (585 nucleotides) under uncultured organism. RNAcentral describes it as "partial 12S ribosomal RNA". The record is from RNAcentral.
GUGCCAGCCGCCGCGGUUAUACAAAUAAUACAAAUAAAUUUUUUUAGUAAUAGUUAAAUUGUAAUAAUUAAAUUAAAAAUAAAUUUAUUAGGUGAGAUUUUAAAUUUAUAAAAAUUUUAAUAAAGUUAAUUGAAGCUAAGAAAUUUUAUUUAUAAACUAGGAUUAGAUACCCUAUUAUUUAAAAUGUAAUUUAAUUACUAAAGUAAUAAUAGUUAUGUUCUUGAAACUUAAAAAAUUUGGCGGUAUUUUAGUCUAUUCAGAGGAACCUGUUCUGUAAUCGAUAAUCCACGUUGGACCUUACUUAAGUUUGUUUUUCAGUCUAUAUACCGUCGUUAGCAGAAUAUUUUAAAAGAAAAAUAAUUUUCAAAAAUUUAAAAUUGAAUAUAUAUCAGAUCAAGGUGUAGCUAAUAUUUAAGUAGAAAUGGGUUACAAUAAAUAUAUUUUUGGAUUUAGAUAUGAAAAAUCUAUUGAAAUUGGAUUUGAUAGUAAAAUUAUAUAGAUUAAUAAUUUGAUUAUAGCUCUAAAAUAUGUACACAUCGCCCGUCGCUCUUAUUAAUAAGAUAAGAUAAGGCGUAACAAGGUAGA